This is an RNA transcript of Papaver somniferum (opium poppy), 3962 nucleotides long. It is a transcript of the gene named MDIS1-interacting receptor like kinase 2-like, with no coding region annotated. NCBI's taxonomy places the organism in Eukaryota, Viridiplantae, Streptophyta, Magnoliopsida, Ranunculales, Papaveraceae. The record is from RefSeq and is a predicted model, not a curated record. The transcript has 2 exons.
UUAAAUAAAAUAAGGGCUUCUUAUAAGAACCUCUUCUACUUCAUUAGUUCAUCAUCAUGAGCAAAAAAUCAUAACUCUUUUUCAUUUGAAAUGUCACAACGAGUAAAACUUUCCAUUGAUACUUUUUUACUAGUAUUGCCAUAUUACUGAUGGUUUCAUCUUCCAGUGUUCUUCUUGCUUCAGGUUCUUCGUUUUCUUCAACUCAGAGAAAACAUCAUGUACAAGUAGUUGAACAAGAAGUAGUUGCUCUUUUGAAAUGGAAAUCAACCCUUAUUACCCUAAAUCAUUCUCUUCUCUCUUCUUGGAAGAUGAAUUCUACUGCGAGUCCUUGUAAAUGGAAUGGAAUCAUUUGCAACAACAAGGGUAGAGUUGCGGAAUUGAGCUUAACAGGUUUGAGUUUACAAGGUACACUGCAUAGUUUCAACUUUUCAUCUUUCACUAACUUUGUUAGUCUUGACUUGAGCCAGAACGAACUCUUUGGAACCAUUCCAUCACAAAUUAGUCAUCUUACAAAACUCACAUACCUUGAUCUUUCUUCGAAUAAAUUUUCGGGACAUAUUCCACCAGAAAUAGGUCUGCUCACAAGUCUGCUGUCUUUAGACCUUUCUGAAAAUAAAAUUAGUGGAUCCAUCCCUCAAGAAAUUGGCAAGUUAUCUCUUCUCACUGAUCUUAUGCUGUACAAGAACAAUCUGGCUGGUUCAUUGCCUACUUCUCUAUGCAAUUUGACCAACUUGGAUGUUUUAGCAGUGUUUGAAAAUCAGAUUUCCGGUGUCAUUCCUCGAGAUAUUGGAAGACUGAGUUCUCUUAUUAUCUUAGCUUUGUAUGAAAACAAUCUGAAUGGUCCAAUCCCUUCUUCUAUAUGCAACCUGACUAACUUGACCCGUUUACUAAUGUAUGAAAAUCAAAUCUCGGGUGUCAUUCCUCCAGAUAUCGGUUUGCUAAGUUCUCUUACAGAAUUAGAGUUGUCCGCCAACAAUCUCAGUGGUUCAAUCCCCGCUUCUUUAACCAAUUUGACUGGGUUAGAGGGUCUUUAUCUAUAUGAAAACAAACUUUCAGGAAUCAUACCUCAAGAUAUAGGUAGUCUCACAAGUCUGCGUUCCUUAGACCUUUCUAAGAAUCAAAUUAGUGGAUUUAUCCCUCGUGAAAUUGGCAAUUUAUAUUUUCUAACUGAUCUAAUUUUGUUCAGAAAUAAGCUUAGUGGUGCACUGCCUAAUUCUAUAUGCAAUCUGAUCUUGACAAGUUCAUUAAUUUAUCAAAACCGAAUCUCGGGUGCCAUUACUCGAGAUAUCGGAAGCCUAACUUCUCUUACCAUGUUAGUUCUGUACGACAAUAACCUUAGUGGUUCAAUCCCAACUUCAAUAUGUAAUCUAACCAAUUUGGAUCAUUUAGCAGUUUUUGAGAACAGCCUUUCUGGCAUUACCUCUAGAAAUUGGUAGCCUUAAGUCUCUUACCAUCUUAUAUAUGUAUUCAAACAAUCUCAAUGGUUCAAUCCCUGCUUCUUUAACGAAUCUGACUAGCCUGAGCUCUCUUUACCUAUGGGAUAACAACCUUUCUGGCAUCAUUCCAACAGAUAUAGGAAGGCUACACUCUCUUAAGAUCUUGACUUUGUCAGAAAAUUAUUUCACUGGUCAAAUUCCUACAUCUAUAUGUCAUUUGGCCAACCUCAGCGUUUUAUCAGCAGGUCAAAAUCAACUCAGUGGUGCCAUCCCUCAUGAUAUUGGAAAUCUAAGAUCUUUAGAUACCUUACCUUUGCUCAUGAACAAACUCACCUGUUCCAUUCCUGCAUCGGUGGGUAAUUUGAGAAAUUUGACUUAUUUAUCUCUUACUGGGAAUCAGUUAACCGGUUUAUUACCAAUAGGAAUCAACAAUCUAACACAGUUGAGAGUAAUUUAUUUGAGUGACAACAAGUUUUCAGGUUAUGUGCCUCAAGAUGUAUGUCGAGGUGGAACACUUGAAGAAUUUGUGGCAAGUGGUAACCAUUUUAUGGGUCGUAUACCAAGAAGCCUUAGAAAUUGCAUUAGCCUCAGAAGUCUCGAUCUUUCGAUGAAUGAGCUGGUUGGUAAUCUGACAGAAGCGUUUCAGGUGUAUCCAUUUCUAGAUAAGUUUCGCGUGCAAAACAACAUGUUGUAUGGUGAACUCUCAAAAGAAUGGGGGAAUUGUCCAAGUUUGACAGCUCUAUCUUUCUCAGGGAAUAAUAUCACAGGUAAUCUGAAAUGGGCAAGUUGAAGAGUUUAAGUGAACUUUAUCUUAAUUCAAAUAACUUAGUAAGAGAAAUUCCUACGGAGUUGUCGAAUCUGUCUUCACUAAUUCAUUUAGAUUUAAGUAAUAACCAGCUUUCUGUUAGGUUGUCUUCUGAAGUCGGAAAAUUUUCCAGCCUUCAAUAUAUCGAUCUAUCAACAAAUAAACUCACAGGGUCAAUACCAAAACAACUAGGGGAAUGUUCCAAGUUAUUAUCUUUAAAUCUGGGCAGAAACAAUUUUAAUGAAAGCAUCCCACCCCAGAUUGGAAACUUGGAUUCGUUACAGAUUUUGUUAGAUCUUAGUUACAAUGAGUUUACUGGAGAGAUACCGUCAGCUCUGGGAAAACUACGUAAACUGGAAACAUUAAAUUUGUCACACAACAAGCUUGUCGGCUCAAUUCCAUCUUCAUUUGAUCAAAUGCUUAGCUUGACAUCUGUCAAUAUUUCGGACAAUGAACUGAGUGGCUCUCUUCCAAAUAUCAAGGCCUUUAAGGAUGCUCAAAGGGUUGUACGGUGAUAACACUACAGGUUUAAAACCAUGUAAUUCUCCGGUUGUGUUUAGAAGAAAACAAGACAAGAAAAAUCUUUUGCUCGUGAUCCUACUUCCAUUGAUUGGUUCGUUCUUUCUUUUGUUCAUACUUCUCGCCAUUUUCUUUUGGCUUCGAAAAAGAUCUUCAAGAAAUGUCAUGCCUGCCGAUCAGGCAACAGUUUCCACUACCGGAAGAAACUUAUUUUCAGUAUGGAAUUACGAUGGGAAAAUAGUGUUCGAAGACAUAAUUGAAGCAACUGAGACUUUUGAUGCAAAAUAUUGCAUCGGAACAGGAGGAUAUGGGAGCGUUUACAAAGCAGAGUUGUCAACAGGUCAAGUUGUUGCUGUCAAGAAAUCCGACACCGGCACAUUGUGAAGUUUUCGGUUUUUGUUCCAAUCCAGAAAGACAAGUCUCAUUUUUGGUUUACGAGUACAUGGAAAGAGGAAGCUUGAAAAAAGUUUUUUCAGAUGUGGAACAAGCUGUUGAGUUUGACUGGAUAAAGAGGCUAAGAUUCAUCAAGCGAGCAGCUAAUGCCCUUGCUUACAUGCACCAUGAUUGCGUUCCAGCAAUAGUUCACCGGGAUAUAUCUAGCAAUAAUAUUUUGUUGGACUCUGAAUAUGAAGCUAGAGUUUCUGAUUUCGGUACAGCGAGGAUUUUGAAGCCAGAUUCAUCCGAUUGGACUUCACUUGCAGGAACCUACGGAUACGUUGCUCCAGAGCUUGCUUAUACAAUGAAAGUUACCGAGAAACGCGAUGUUUGUAGCUUCGGGGUGAUCAUAUUAGAAGUACUUAAGGGAAGCCAUCCAUCUGAAAUUAUCACGGAGCUCUCGCAAAUUCUUCUUUCAUCUCCUUCAUCGAGUAAGGUGAGGCAAAACAUAAGGUUGUCAGACAUCUUGGACCCUGCCUUGGAGCACCAGCUGAUAUUGUGAAGAAAGAAAUAAUGUACAUCGUCAAGGUUGGAUUUUCCUGUUUACGAGCUGAUCCAAGUACUCGGCCAACUAUGCAAGAAGUAGCAGCAGAGCUAGCAUUGUCUGCUCGGAGCAGGGAAAAUUUAGAAAAGCCUUUUGAAAUGAUUACACUAGGAGACAUUAUUCUGUCAGAAUAAUUUGUAUAACCUAGUCAUCAUCUUCUAAUUUUCUUUUCUUUUGGCUCCUCUAAAUUAUUAAGUUAUGAGUAUUUUUCUUUCAAUCCAAA